RNAcentral lists this ribosomal RNA (460 nucleotides) under uncultured bacterium. Its description in RNAcentral is "partial 16S ribosomal RNA". It matches the Rfam family "Bacterial small subunit ribosomal RNA", at positions 338 to 795 of the family's 1533-position model. The record is from RNAcentral.
CCUACGGGAGACAGCAGUGAGGAAUAUUGGUCAAUGGACGAGAGUCUGAACCAGCCAAGUAGCGUGAAGGAUGACUGCCCUAUGGGUUGUAAACUUCUUUUAUAUGGGAAUAAAAUGUUCCACGUGUGGGAUUUUGUAUGUAUCAUCUGAAUAAGGAUCGGCUAACUCCGUGCCAGCAGCCGCGGUAAUACGGAGGAUCCGAGCGUUAUCCGGAUUUAUUGGGUUUAAAGGGAGCGUAGGUGGAUUGUUAAGUCAGUUGUGAAAGUUUGCGGCUAAACCGGAAAAUUGCAGUUGAAACUGGCAGUCUUGAGUACAGUAGAGGUGGGCGGAAUUCGUGGUGUAGCGGUGAAAUGCUUAGAUAUCACGAAGAACUCCGAUUGCGAAGGCAGUUCACUGGACUGCAACUGACACUGAGGCUCGAAAGUGUGGGUAUCAAACAGGAUUAGAUACCCGAGUAGUC